Molecule: long non-coding RNA, 540 nt
Organism: Carassius auratus (goldfish)
Lineage: Eukaryota; Metazoa; Chordata; Actinopteri; Cypriniformes; Cyprinidae
Exons: 3
Source: RefSeq, a predicted model, not a curated record
GGCAGUCUGAGUGAAAACCUUCACAUUUCUACUUCGAUCUUAAGAAAGCCAUACAGGUUUGGAACCAAGUGAAAACGCAGUGAUGACCAGCUUUCCAUCAGCUAUGGAAUGUGAAAUAAAAAAUGCUAUUUCUAAUCAUUUCAAACAAGCACCAGGGACGGCAGGGGGUGGGGGUUAUGGAUCUAAAGUAAACAGUUAAUUCUUAAAAAUUAAUUGUUUUACAUAUUUUUCCAAUGUUUUAUUUGUUAAUUUUUAUGUUUGAAUGUUGUCCAAGUUGUUGUUGUCUAUAUAAUUGUUCAAAAUAAAUCCCUUUAUAUUCAAUUAGUUUGGAUGGAUUUUAAUUUAUGAGAACAUGUUAUAUUUGAGUGAAAAGAAUCCUUAUGCCUCAUUUUGUUGUCUAUUACAUGUAUAUGUAGUGUAAUUGAUGACUAGUCUAUUCUUGGGCUAUGGUUAGACGUCUAUUAGAUUUUCACUGACAGCCCAAAAUCAGCCUUGUUUUAGCCUAGACCCAUAUUGCCUGUCUAUUAGACGUAUGUAGUC